Molecule: transfer RNA, 71 nt
Filed under: Mycobacterium sp.
Lineage: Bacteria; Bacillati; Actinomycetota; Actinomycetes; Mycobacteriales; Mycobacteriaceae
Description: tRNA-OTHER
Source: RNAcentral
GAGCUGGAAUAACCAGUUUCCGACACUCGUUCGCAUCGAGUAGGUCAGGGGUUCGAAUCCCCUUAGCUCCA